RNAcentral lists this transfer RNA (61 nucleotides) under Hexamermis agrotis. Its description in RNAcentral is "tRNA-Ala". The record is from RNAcentral. Lineage: Eukaryota; Metazoa; Nematoda; Enoplea; Mermithida; Mermithidae.
AAUUUAAUAUUUAAAAAUCUUCUAGUAUCACUUUGCAGAUGAUUUAAUGAUUUCUAAACUG